Molecule: transfer RNA, 75 nt
Filed under: Allostigmatella aurantiaca DW4/3-1
Lineage: Bacteria; Pseudomonadati; Myxococcota; Myxococcia; Myxococcales; Archangiaceae
Description: Stigmatella aurantiaca DW4/3-1 tRNA-Val
Rfam family: tRNA
About the family: Transfer RNA (tRNA) molecules are approximately 80 nucleotides in length. Their secondary structure includes four short double-helical elements and three loops (D, anti-codon, and T loops).
Source: RNAcentral
GGGCGGAUAGCUCAGCGGUAGAGCGUCGCCCUUACAAGGCGAGGGUCACAGGUUCGAUCCCUGUUCCGCCCAAAG